This 468-nucleotide ribosomal RNA is filed under the name uncultured bacterium. RNAcentral's name for it is "partial 16S ribosomal RNA". It matches the Rfam family "Bacterial small subunit ribosomal RNA", at positions 28 to 507 of the family's 1533-position model. The record is from RNAcentral.
GACGAACGCUGGCGGCGUGCUUAACACAUGCAAGUCGAACGGAAAGGCCCUGCUUUUGUGGGGUGCUCGAGUGGCGAACGGGUGAGUAACACGUGAGUAACCUGCCCUUGACUUUGGGAUAACUUCAGGAAACUGGGGCUAAUACCGGCUAGGAGCUCCUGCUGCAUGGUGGGGGUUGGAAAGUUUCGGCGGUUGGGGAUGGACUCGCGGCUUAUCAGCUUGUUGGUGGGGUAGUGGCUUACCAAGGCUUUGACGGGUAGCCGGCCUGAGAGGGUGACCGGCCACAUUGGGACUGAGAUACGGCCCAGACUCCUACGGGAGGCAGCAGUGGGGAAUAUUGCACAAUGGGCGGAAGCCUGAUGCAGCAACGCCGCGUGCGGGAUGACGGCCUUCGGGUUGUAAACCGCUUUCGCCUGUGACGAAGCGUGAGUGACGGUAAUGGGUAGAGAAGCACCGGCUAACUACGUG